AUUCAGAGCAUCCGAUGCUAUGAUAGAGAGGAUUUGCAUCUACUGAGGAAGAGGCGUGCAUUUCUUUCCUUUCAACACCUUACGAGAAGCAUGAGAAUGAUACAACCAGUGAUCUUAGAGAAGUUCCUUUCAAUCCAAUCUAUGUAGAGGUAGUCGAAGGAAGUUUAUGGAUGAAGGACAUUCAGAAGUGAGCAAAGAUGUUUUUAGAUAGAGCAGAAGUCAGCGCAGAUGGAGAAGAUAUGAUCAACUGUUUCAGGGGUUUGCCCA
This 267-nucleotide long non-coding RNA is filed under the name Elaeis guineensis (African oil palm). RNAcentral describes it as "long non-coding RNA (EGUI_LNC004192)". Lineage: Eukaryota; Viridiplantae; Streptophyta; Magnoliopsida; Arecales; Arecaceae. The record is from RNAcentral.